UCCCUGGUGGUUCAGAUGGUAAAGAACCUGCCUGCAAUGCAGGAGACCUGGGUUUGAUCCCUGGGCUGGGAA
RNAcentral lists this transfer RNA (72 nucleotides) under Ovis aries (sheep). It matches the Rfam family "tRNA". From Rfam's summary of the family: Transfer RNA (tRNA) molecules are approximately 80 nucleotides in length. The record is from Rfam by way of RNAcentral. Lineage: Eukaryota; Metazoa; Chordata; Mammalia; Artiodactyla; Bovidae.